This 2277-nucleotide ribosomal RNA is filed under the name Methanomassiliicoccaceae archaeon UBA329. Its description in RNAcentral is "bacterial LSU rRNA". It matches the Rfam family "Archaeal large subunit ribosomal RNA", at positions 15 to 2350 of the family's 2987-position model. Lineage: Archaea; Methanobacteriati; Thermoplasmatota; Thermoplasmata; Methanomassiliicoccales; Methanomassiliicoccaceae. The record is from RNAcentral.
ACGCCGCAUGGGGGAUGGUUCGGCUAGAGCGCUGAAGAAGGUCGUGUCAAGCAGCGAUAUGCGUCGGGUAGGUGCAUGAAGCCUAUGAUCCGACGAUGACCUAAUGGGACUUCCUAUUCUUCGGAAUGGUCAGUAAUGACAGGGAACGCGGGGGAUUGAAGCAUCUUAGUACCCGCAGGAAAAGAAAUCAACAGAGAUACCGCUAGUAAAGGCGAUCGAAAACGGUACAGGGCAAACCGAAUCCCUUGGUGAAAACCCGGGGAGGUGUGGUGUUGUGGACUCUUUUACUCCUGGCGCAAUAAUAUUCGAAAUGUGCUGGAAAGCACUGCCAUAGAGGGUGAUAGCCCCUUAGAAGAAGGAUUGCAUGGAGAUUUUAGAGUAUCCGGAGUAGCGUGCGUUGGAUAUCGCGCGUGAAUCAGGGAGGCAUUCGCUUCCAACCCUAAAUACGUCUCUAGUCCGAUAGUGCAGUAGUAGUGUGAACGAAAACUGAAAAGUACCCUUAACGGGAGGUUAAAAGACCUGAAACCAUGCGGUCAAAGAUUUAUAUAGCAUCAAAGGGAAGAAGCCAUAAAUGGUGGACCAGUGUUAUAUUGUCCGUUUAGAAAAACGGGCCAGGGAGUUCUGGUCAUUGGCGAGGUUAACCACUUGAAGUGGGAAGCCACAGGGAAACCAAUUGUCCGCAGUUUUUAACGAGGGACAAGGUGUGCUCGCCUGGAGUCAAUGGCGCGGAUACCCGAAGCCGGUCGAUCUACGCCUGAGCAGAUUGAAGCCUCCUGAAAGGGAGGUGGAGGAUCGAACCAGUACUGAUGUGCAAAUCGUUUGGAUGACUUGGGUGUAGGGGUGAAAGGCCAAUCUAGGCCGGAAAUAGCUGGUUCCCCCUGAAACUAUUCGCAGAUAGACCUCGACUGAGGCAGAUCGUGAGGUAGAGCCACUGAUUGGAUGCUUAGGGGAAGAAAUUCCUCGGUGUUCUGUCAAACUCCGAAUAUGCGAUCACCGUAGACGUCGGGAGUGAGGCCAUCCGGGGUAAGCUCGAUGGCCGUGAGGGAAACAACCCAGACUAGAGUUAAGGUCCCUAAAUAUCGGUUAAGUGUAAUAUGAAAUGGCGUCGGCAGUCUAAAACAACCGGGAGGUGGGCUUAGAAGCAGCCAUCCUUCAAAGAUAGCGUAACAGCUCACCGGUCGAGAUUGUGGGCCCAAAAAAUGGACGGGGCUAAAACCGGUUACCGAUACUCUAGAACACAGCAAUGUGAUUUCGUAAGGGGGCGUGGUGCAUGGGCAGAAGUGGGGCCGUGAGGUCCUGUGGACCGUGUACCAAUGAGGAUCCUGGUGAGAGUAGCAGCAAAGUACGGUGAGAAUCCGUAUCGCCGCAGGGGCAAGGGUUCCUUGGCAAUGUUCGUCAGCCAAGGGUUAGUCGAUCCUAAGGCAAUUCUUAAUUGAAAUUGUCGAAAGGGAAACUGGUUAAUAUUCCAGUACUGUAAAUUCCUUUGUCCGUAUCCCGACAGAUAGGGAUAGUUGGAGUACAACAGCCAUUGUAUUGAAGCAUCGAAGUCUCCGGAGAACCGUCAUGGUGAGAAAGAGAUGAACUUGUGAUCAGGCGAGCGUAGGCUCGCUUCCGAUGAUUCCCCGUUUCCGUGAAAAAGGAUACGGAGUCAGCUUUUACAAUCGUACCAAGAACCGACACAGGUGUCCCUAGGUGAGUAGCCUAAGGCGUGUUAGCAUAAUCUAGGCGAGGGAACUCGGCAAAUUAGCCCUGUAACUUCGGGAGAAGGGGUGCCAGUUGCGUGAGUAACUGGUCGCAGUGACAAGAGAACUCCGACUGUUUAAUCAAAACAUAGAUCGCUGCUAGUUCGAAAGGAUGUGUAUAGCGGUUGAAGCCUGCCCAGUGUCGGUAUCUUAAAUCCUGUUUCAACGGGACGAAGGACCGAUAAACGGCGGGGGUAACUAUGACCCUCUUAAGGUAGCGUAGUACCUUGUCGCUUAAUUGGCGACUUGCAUGAAGGCCCAACGAGAGUUCUACUGUCCCCGCCUAGACGCUAGUGAAAUCAAUCUGUCUGGUGCACAAUCCAGACCCCUCCAUCUGAAAGCGAAGACCCCAUGGAGUUUCACUGCAACCUGUUGUUGCGGUAAGAAUUGACAUGUGUAGGGUAGGCGGGAGUCGUUACCCAGGAAGGAGCGCCAGCUUCUCUCCGAGACUACGAUGAAACACCGCUCUUGUCGAUUUUUACCACUAACCUCUAAGGAGGAACAGCUAUAGGUAGGCAGUUCGGGUGGGGCGCCA